UACGAAGGGGGCUAGCGUUGUUCGGAAUCACUGGGCGUAAAGCGCACGCAGGCGGAUCGUUAAGUCAGGGGUGAAAUCCCGAGGCUCAACCUCGGAACUGCCUUUGAUACUGGCGAUCUUUGAGUCCGGGAGAGGUGAGUGGAACUCCGAGUGUAGAGGUGAAAUUCGUAGAUAUUCGGAAGAACACCAGUGGCGAAGGCGGCUCACUGGCCCGGUACUGACGCUCAUGUGCGAAAGCGUGGGGAGCAAACAGG
RNAcentral lists this ribosomal RNA (254 nucleotides) under uncultured bacterium. RNAcentral describes it as "partial 16S ribosomal RNA". It matches the Rfam family "Bacterial small subunit ribosomal RNA", at positions 524 to 776 of the family's 1533-position model. The record is from RNAcentral. RNAcentral also lists the same sequence under 1 other name.